AUGAACGCUGGCGGCGUGCUUAACACCUGCCAGUCGCACGAUGAAGCCCAGCUUGCUGGGUGGAUUAGUGGCGAACGGGUGAGUAACACGUGAGUAACCUGCCCUUGACUCUGGGAUAAGCCUGGGAAACUGGGUCUAAUACUGGAUAUGACUUCUCAUCGCAUGGUGGGGGGUGGAAAGAUUUAUUGGUCUUGGAUGGACUCGCGGCCUAUCAGCUUGUUGGUGAGGUAAUGGCUCACCAAGGCGACGACGGGUAGCCGGCCUGAGAGGGUGACCGGCCACACUGGGACUGAGACACGGCCCAGACUCCUACGGGAGGCAGCAGUGGGGAAUAUUGCACAAUGGGCGCAAGCCUGAUGCAGCGACGCCGCGUGAGGGAUGACGGCCUUCGGGUUGUAAACCUCUUUCAGUAGGGAAGAAGCGAGAGUGACGGUACCUGCAGAAGAAGCGCCGGCUAACUACGUG
This 465-nucleotide ribosomal RNA is filed under the name uncultured bacterium. Its description in RNAcentral is "partial 16S ribosomal RNA". It matches the Rfam family "Bacterial small subunit ribosomal RNA", at positions 29 to 507 of the family's 1533-position model. The record is from RNAcentral.